RNAcentral lists this ribosomal RNA (162 nucleotides) under Ishige okamurae. RNAcentral describes it as "small subunit ribosomal RNA". It matches the Rfam family "Bacterial small subunit ribosomal RNA", at positions 8 to 180 of the family's 1533-position model. Lineage: Eukaryota; Phaeophyceae; Ectocarpales; Ishigeaceae. The record is from RNAcentral.
AGAGUUUGAUCCUGGCUCAGGAUGAACGCUGGCGGUAUGCUUUACACAUGCAAGUCGAACGAAAGUUUUUAACUUUAGUGGCGGACGGGUGAGUAACACGUGAGAAUUUGCCUUUAGGUGGGGAAUAACAGUUGGAAAUAACUGCUAAUGCCGCAUAUCAUU